GCUGGCCUUUCGAGGCAUGUGCUCGCAUUCAAAACUGUUUAAUCUUCACUUGUGCACCUUUUGUAGUCUUUUGAAGUCAUCUCCGCUGCAAAUGCGGGUUUUUGGGAGUCUGUCUCCCUGGGCUUUAAAGACUAUGUUUUCAUAUACAUUGAAAAGUUACAGAAUGUCUUCUUAUCGGCCGCGAGGCCUUUAUAAACUUAAUACAACUUUCAACAACGGAUCUCUUGGCUCUCCCAUCGAUGAAGAACGCAGCGAAAUGCGAUAAGUAAUGUGAAUUGCAGAAUUCAGUGAAUCAUCGAAUCUUUGAACGCACCUUGCGCCCUUUGGUAUUCCGAAGGGCAUGCCUGUUUGAGUGUCAUUAAAUUAUCAACCUUGAAGGCUUUUGUGGUCUUCUAGGCUUGGAUGUGAGGGCUUGCUGGCUUCCUUCAGUGGAUUGGUCUGCUCCCUUUAAAUGCAUUAGUAGGAUCCUCUUGUGGAACUGUCGCUCGGUGUGAUAAUUAUCUACGCCCUAUUGACUUGCAAUGAGAGCCUGCUAAGAACUGUCUUCGGA
Molecule: ribosomal RNA, 550 nt
Filed under: Panellus violaceofulvus
Lineage: Eukaryota; Fungi; Basidiomycota; Agaricomycetes; Agaricales; Mycenaceae
Description: eukaryotic LSU rRNA
Rfam family: 5.8S ribosomal RNA (bases 205-358)
Source: RNAcentral